UUGUUUAUAUACAAAAUGCUUUUUAUACGUAGUUUGGUUGUUCCACCUAUAUAUUUAGGUUUUUCGAUUAGAUGAUUCUCAAAACUAAGUUCUAUCCCAUUUGAAUUCAUUUAUGCUUUUUAUAUUACCAUGAUCUCCCAUCAUUCAAAUUCGAAUUUUGGGGCUGACGUACGUUUCUUGAAAUGCCAAGUGAUACGUAACAUAAAAGAUAAGUGUAGUAGAUAGUCUAAUCCCGCGGAUGAGGACGACACCUCGUUAUUCGAAAACGGACAAUUGAACGAUAAAACGAAUAAAUUGGGAAAAGAAAUGUUUGGGGCAAAGUACAAUAUAAAAUGAUAGGGCUCUCAAUUAGGGUUUCGGGAUGGGCGUGGCUUGUCUUUUUCUAUGUGGAUUCCAAAAGCAUCCGUCGCAUUGAAAAAGUUCGAGAAUAUCUAUGAUGGGCUUGGGGCGUUUGUGUGUCUGUGCAAAUUGCAGAAAAAGAAAAAGAAAAAAAAAAGAAAUCCUUUAUUGUAAUUAAAAGAUCUGUUGCCCUUUUUCGAAGCGUCGCUUUAGGCUUUCGGUCACUUUCUUAUAUUAUUUUUCACUUUCUUAUAUUAUUUUCAUGAUCCCUUUUUUCUAAAUUAGUUGCCUUUUGGGCAGUACGGGCAGUCAUCACGCAUUGAUUCCUUAAUUCUUUAUUAUUUUCCUUCCUUUUCUUUCUGGAGUGUUUUUUAGUGUCAAUGUUGUAUUGCCAGUCGUAGUGAACUGGCUGCGGUCCACGAAAACUUUUUCAAAAGUAGGUAAAUAAAGCGAUACGAUUUGGGCAGAAACAACCAAAGUGAUUUGAAAGAAAGGGCCAACUUCCAUUAAAGAACCACCAACAC
Molecule: long non-coding RNA, 863 nt
Filed under: Eucalyptus grandis
Lineage: Eukaryota; Viridiplantae; Streptophyta; Magnoliopsida; Myrtales; Myrtaceae
Description: long non-coding RNA (EGRA_LNC004918)
Source: RNAcentral